This 388-nucleotide ribosomal RNA is filed under the name uncultured bacterium. Its description in RNAcentral is "bacterial SSU rRNA". It matches the Rfam family "Bacterial small subunit ribosomal RNA", at positions 29 to 418 of the family's 1533-position model. The record is from RNAcentral.
AUUGAACGCUGGCGGCAUGCCUUACACAUGCAAGUCGAACGGCAGCACGGGGGCAACCCUGGUGGCGAGUGGCGAACGGGUGAGUAAUGCAUCGGAACGUGCCCUGAAGUGGGGGAUAACGUAGCGAAAGUUACGCUAAUACCGCAUAUUCUGUGAGCAGGAAAGCAGGGGAUCGUAAGACCUUGCGCUUUGGGAGCGGCCGAUGUCGGAUUAGCUAGUUGGUGGGGUAAAAGCUCACCAAGGCGACGAUCCGUAGCGGGUCUGAGAGGAUGAUCCGCCACACUGGGACUGAGACACGGCCCAGACUCCUACGGGAGGCAGCAGUGGGGAAUUUUGGACAAUGGGCGCAAGCCUGAUCCAGCCAUGCCGCGUGAGUGAAGAAGGCCUC